UACGUAGGGUGCAAGCGUUAAUCGGAAUUACUGGGAGUAAAGCGUACGCAGGCGGCUUUGCAAGACAGGUGUGAAAUCCCCGGGCCUAACCUGGGAACUGCAUUUGUGACUGCAUGGCUAGAGUCUGUCAGAGGGGGGUGGAAUUCCACGUGUAGCAGUGAAAUGCGUAGAGAUGUGGAAGAACACCGAUGGCGAAGGCAGCCCCCUGGGAUGAGACUGACGCUCAUGUACGAAAGCGUGGGGAGCAAACAGG
This 253-nucleotide ribosomal RNA is filed under the name uncultured bacterium. Its description in RNAcentral is "partial 16S ribosomal RNA". It matches the Rfam family "Bacterial small subunit ribosomal RNA", at positions 524 to 776 of the family's 1533-position model. The record is from RNAcentral.